Molecule: ribosomal RNA, 151 nt
Filed under: uncultured bacterium
Lineage: Bacteria
Description: partial 16S ribosomal RNA
Rfam family: Bacterial small subunit ribosomal RNA
Source: RNAcentral
GCGGAAUAUUGGUCAAUGGGCGAGAGCCUGAACCAGCCAAGUAGCGUGAAGGAUGAAGGCUCUAUGGGUCGUAAACUUCUUUUAUAUGGGAAUAAAGUUUUCCACGUGUGGAAUUUUGUAUGUACCAUAUGAAUAAGGAUCGGCUAACUCC